Molecule: ribosomal RNA, 1821 nt
Filed under: Acetobacter malorum
Lineage: Bacteria; Pseudomonadati; Pseudomonadota; Alphaproteobacteria; Acetobacterales; Acetobacteraceae
Description: bacterial LSU rRNA
Rfam family: Bacterial large subunit ribosomal RNA
Source: RNAcentral
AUAAGGGCAUUCGGUGGAUGCCUUGGCACCAGGAGGCGAUGAAGGACGUAGCACGCUGCGAAAAGCUACGGGGAGCCGCGAGCAGGCUUUGAUCCGUAGAUAUCCGAAUGGGGCAACCCACCCGCAAGGGUAUCGUAGUCUGAAUACAUAGGACUAUGAGGCGAACCCGGGGAACUGAAACAUCUCAGUACCUGGAGGAAAAGACAUCAAUUGAGAUUCUGCUAGUAGUGGCGAGCGAACGCGGAACAGGCCAGUGGUCUUUGGAAGAGAAGCAGAACACUCUGGAAAGGGUGGCCAUAGUGGGUGAUAGUCCCGUAUGCGUAGCGCUUCUAAAGAUCCUUGAGUAGGGCGGGGCACGUGAAACCCUGUCUGAACAUGGGGGGACCACCCUCCAAGCCUAAAUACUCCCUGGUGACCGAUAGUGAACAAGUACCGUGAGGGAAAGGUGAAAAGCACCCCGAUGAGGGGAGUGAAAUAGACCUGAAACCGAAUGCCUACAAGCAGUCGGAGCCUCUUAUGGGGUGACGGCGUACCUUUUGUAUAAUGGGUCAGCGAGUUUCUGUUUGCAGCAAGCUUAAGCCGGUAGGUGUAGGCGUAGCGAAAGCGAGUCUGAAUAGGGCGUCUAGUUGCUGGCAGAAGACCCGAAACCGAGUGAUCUAGCCAUGGCCAGGCUGAAGGUGCGGUAACACGCACUGGAGGGCCGAACCCACGCCUGUUGAAAAAGUCGGGGAUGAGCUGUGGCUAGGGGUGAAAGGCCAAUCAAACUCGGAAAUAGCUGGUUCUCCGCGAAAUCUAUUGAGGUAGACCGUCAGGUAUUUACCCCGGGGGGUAGAGCACUGGAUGGGCUAGGGGGGCCCAAAGCCUUACCAAACCUAACCAAACUCCGAAUACCCGGAAGUAUUAGCCUGGCAGACAGACAGUGGGUGCUAAGGUCCAUUGUCGAGAGGGAAACAGCCCAGACCACCAGCUAAGGCCCCUAAAUCGUGGCUAAGUGGGAAAGGAUGUGGGGAUUCCAAAACAACCAGGAGGUUGGCUUAGAAGCAGCCAUCCUUUAAAGAAAGCGUAAUAGCUCACUGGUCUAAUAGAAACCCUGCGCCGAAAAUGUAACGGGGCUCAAGCCACGUGCCGAAGCUGUGGGUGCAUACUAUGUAUGCGCGGUAGCGGAGCGUUCCGUAGGUCUGUGAAGGAAGCGGGGUGACCCCUUCUGGAGAUAUCGGAAGUGCGAAUGCUGACAUGAGUAGCGACAAACAGUGCGAGAAACACUGUCGCCGAAAGUCCAAGGGUUCCUGCGCAAGGUUAAUCCACGCAGGGUUAGUCGGCCCCUAAGGCGAGGGCGAAAGCCGUAGUCGAUGGGAAUCAGGUGAAUAUUCCUGAACCUGCCAGAAGUGACGAAUGCAAUAUGUUGUCAGUCCUUAUCGGAUUGGACUGGCUUUUGGCGCAUUCCAGGAAAUAGCUCUGGCGUAUAGACCGUACCCGAAACCGACACAGGUGGACUGGUAGAGAAUACCAAGGCGCUUGAGAGAACGAUGCUGAAGGAACUAGGCAAAUUACUCGUGUAACUUCGGGAUAAGCGAGACCCGUUGGUGGGCAACCAUCGGCGGGUGGCACAGACCAGGGGGUAGCGACUGUUUAGUAAAAACACAGGGCUCUGCGAAGUCGAAAGACGACGUAUAGGGCCUGACGCCUGCCCGGUGCCGGAAGGUUAAGAGGAGGUGUGAGAGCACUGAAUUGAAGCCCCGGUAAACGGCGGCCGUAACUAUAACGGUCCUAAGGUAGCGAAAUUCCUUGUCGGGUAAGUUCCGACCUGCACGAAUGGCGUAA